RNAcentral lists this small nuclear RNA (107 nucleotides) under Dasypus novemcinctus (nine-banded armadillo). The record is from RNAcentral. Lineage: Eukaryota; Metazoa; Chordata; Mammalia; Cingulata; Dasypodidae.
GUGCUUGCUUUGGCUGCACAUAUACUAAAAUUGGAAUGAUACAGACAAGAUUAACAUGGUCCCUGCACAAGGAUGACAUGCAGAUUCAUGAAGAAUUCCAUAUUUUU